AGUGAACGCUGGCGGUAGGCCUAACACAUGCAAGUCGAACGGCAGCACAGUAAGAGCUUGCUCUUACGGGUGGCGAGUGGCGGACGGGUGAGGAAUACAUCGGAAUCUACUUUUUCGUGGGGGAUAACGUAGGAAAACUUACGCUAAUACCGCAUACGACCUACGGGUGAAAGCAGGGGAUCUUCGGACCUUGCGCGAUUGAAUGAGCCGAUGUCGGAUUAGCUAGUUGGCGGGGUAAAGGCCCACCAAGGCGACGAUCCGUAGCUGGUCUGAGAGGAUGGUAAGCCACACUGGAACGGAGACACGGUCCAGACUCCUACGGGAGGCAGCAGUGGGGAAUAGUGGACAAUGGGCGCAAGCCUGAUCCAGCCAUACCGCGUGGGUGAAGAAGGCCUUCGGGUUGUAAAGCCCUUUUGUUGGGAAAGAAAAGCAGCAGGUUAAUACCCCGCUGUUCUGACGGUACCCAAAGAAUAAGCACCGGCUAACUUCGUG
Molecule: ribosomal RNA, 492 nt
Filed under: uncultured bacterium
Lineage: Bacteria
Description: partial 16S ribosomal RNA
Rfam family: Bacterial small subunit ribosomal RNA
Source: RNAcentral